This 349-nucleotide transfer-messenger RNA is filed under the name Actinomycetota bacterium. It matches the Rfam family "transfer-messenger RNA". Rfam says of the family: Bacterial tmRNA, also known as 10Sa RNA or SsrA, is named for its dual tRNA and mRNA-like properties. Its role is to liberate the mRNA from a stalled ribosome. To accomplish this part of the tmRNA is used as a reading frame that ends in a translation stop signal. The record is from RNAcentral. Lineage: Bacteria; Bacillati; Actinomycetota.
GGGGGUGACCUGGCUUCGACUUGGGUGUUUCACCUUUCGGGAGAAGCGGGCCGAGGUCCCCGGAGUCCUCGUUAAAGAGCCGGGAUCAACACAAGCGCCAAUAACCUUGCGCUUGCUGCCUAACUAGGCAGCCGUCCGCCGCGGAUCGCCUGCGACCGCGGGUCGGGCGUCACCAGCAGGCUCACCGUUCCGGUUGCGUCUCACGGCCGGAUCGGGACACCGCAGUGAGGCUGGUCCGGCGGUCCUCCGCCUGUGGGAGCCGCCGGACGAGAACUCACCACAGGCUGCGCCCGGAGAAGAACCGGAAGGUCACCUGAGGACGCGGGUUCGAUUCCCGCCACCUCCACUC